UACGGGGGGGGCAAGCGUUGUUCGGAAUUACUGGGCGUAAAGGGCUCGUAGGCGGCCAACUAGGUCAGACGUGAAAUCCCUCGGCUUAACCGGGGAACUGCAUCUGAUACUGGAUGGCUUGAGUUCGGGAGAGGGAUGUGGAAUUCCAGGUGUAGCGGUGAAAUGCGUAGAUAUCUGGAGGAACACCGGUGGCGAAGGCGGCAUCCUGGACCGACACUGACGCUGAUGAGCGAAAGCCAGGGGAGCAAACGGG
Molecule: ribosomal RNA, 253 nt
Filed under: uncultured bacterium
Lineage: Bacteria
Description: partial 16S ribosomal RNA
Rfam family: Bacterial small subunit ribosomal RNA
Source: RNAcentral